RNAcentral lists this long non-coding RNA (261 nucleotides) under Elaeis guineensis (African oil palm). RNAcentral's name for it is "long non-coding RNA (EGUI_LNC082916)". The record is from RNAcentral. Lineage: Eukaryota; Viridiplantae; Streptophyta; Magnoliopsida; Arecales; Arecaceae.
UACUUUUACCUCCCUGCUAAACAAAAGGUAUUUAUCAGCAGUGAGGCAUACUUUUUAGAAAAAGAGUUUCUUAGUGAAGGAAUAAGUAUCUCUAAAGUCGAGCUUAACGAAGUUCGAUAGGUAGAAGAACCGAUACCAGUAAUUGAAUUUGAAUCAGAUUUGAUAAGAUCAAAUCCAGAGCCCAAUAUACAAACAUCCUUAAGGCGAUCUGGUAGAGUACCACGUCAGUCAGUCAGAUACCUAGGUUUCUUAGUCCGGAAC